This 107-nucleotide small nuclear RNA is filed under the name Salvator merianae (Argentine black and white tegu). Lineage: Eukaryota; Metazoa; Chordata; Lepidosauria; Squamata; Teiidae. The record is from RNAcentral.
GUGUUUGCUUUGGCAGCACAUAUACUAAAAUUGUAACGAUACAGAAAAGAUUAGCAUGGCUCUUGUGCAAGGAUGACACGCAGAUUUGUGAAGCGUUCCAUAAUUUA